RNAcentral lists this ribosomal RNA (420 nucleotides) under bacterium. Its description in RNAcentral is "partial 16S ribosomal RNA". It matches the Rfam family "Bacterial small subunit ribosomal RNA", at positions 355 to 776 of the family's 1533-position model. The record is from RNAcentral.
UGGGGGAUAUUGCACAAUGGGCGAAAGCCUGAUGCAGCGACGCCGCGUGGGGGAUGAAGGCUUUCGGGUUGUAAACCUCUUUCGCUAUCGAACAAGGCCCGCUUAGGGUGGGUUGAGGGUAGGUGGAGAAGAAGCGCCGGCUAACUACGUGCCAGCAGCCGCGGUAAUACGUAGGGCGCGAGCGUUGUCCGGAAUUAUUGGGCGUAAAGGGCUUGUAGGCGGCUUGUUGCGCCUGCUGUGAAAACGCGGGGCUUAACUUCGCGCGUGCAGUGGGUACGGGCAGGCUUGAGUGUGGUAGGGGUGACUGGAAUUCCAGGUGUAGCGGUGGAAUGCGCAGAUAUCGGGAGGAACACCGAUGGCGAAGGCAGGUCACUGGGCCAUUACUGACGCUGAGGAGCGAAAGCAUGGGUAGCGAACAGG